Molecule: long non-coding RNA, 2503 nt
Organism: Equus caballus (horse)
Lineage: Eukaryota; Metazoa; Chordata; Mammalia; Perissodactyla; Equidae
Source: Ensembl
CAGAACUGAAGAGAGGAAGGGGAGGAGCCGAGUGGAGCCUAAGCUGCCGCCUGAUCUUACCCCUGACCCGAGGGCGGCGGAGAGAGCUUGCUCUUAGCGGUUUCCUUCAGGGCAGGUGGUGACUGCUCCUUUGGGAGCAAGGAGGAGGCCCAGGCCGCGCGGCCAUGCUCGGGCGCACAACCCGAAGCUUUUCCUACAGAUGUUAUCCUGGAAAGUAAAUUCAAGUAAAAACUCAUGAAGUUGAAAGUAUAGUUCUCUAAGAAAAGAAAUUUUAAGAUAAAAAGACCAAAAUCCUCAGAAAUCUGGCUUGAACCUGUUCUGGUGAAUAGUGUGAGAAUGAGAUAAAAGCAGCAGCAACGAUGAAAGGAAGCAGAUUCCACCGUUCUGUCGCUGGACCCUGGCACACCCUGCCUCCUCUACAGACGGCAGUAAUGGAUUUUACAAGUCUUUCCACCUCAGGGGUUAAGGAGCAAGUGUUUAUAGUCAGAUUUGGGAGACUCUAGGUUUCUACCAUUACUGCCACCACCAUCGGCAAACAGUAGACCUAGGAAACUUCUAACUGGGUAAAUCGAAGGGCUCGUUUUUAUUAAAAUACUGCAGAAAAAGUGAUGGAGGUGGGAGGAGGGUAUUGCACAAGUGAGAAGAGACUCACAAAGUAGCACCUGCCUGCCUGCCCUUGAUCCAAAGUUCCAAGACCCGGGUUAACUAUCCUGCUUAAACUACCCUGGAUUUGACUGUCUUUUCAUGACCAAUCCCCUGCCAUGUCCUUCCAAAUAAGAUUCAUAGGGAAUCAAACCACUAAGUGAUGGCCCAAUAUGGCUACAAAAUAAUUUUUUUUAGUUUUGUCCCUUUUCCUAAUUUGCUGGUGGAAAUCGAAGGAGUAAAGUGCACAGAUAUAGGGGAUUUUGUGAAGCUGAGCACCUCAGAUUUUAAAUUCUGUCGGCUUUAGAUAAAAAGAGAGCAAACACCAGAGCUCUGAAGCCCAGCAGAGGACGCCUCCAGAAAAGUGUGUGCCACGUUUGGUUUUUCAGCAGCCUGAUUUGGUUUCAUUGUCAGUGGCUCCACCUUAGAACCUUAGUGCUGAGACAGAAUGGCACUCAGGAGAGCCCUCAGCCACCUACUUACGAAGGAACAGCUGCGCUAAGCUUACUGGGCAAGAUCCACCCACCUCACCACCCAGCAUGCUAACUGGAGGAAACAGCUGGGACUGGUGACUGGAGAGGAGGAAGUUCAUGCAUUUCCAACUUGGUCUGCAUCUCUUUAGUUCUUUUAUUUCUUAUUAAUCCAGAGGAGAGAACCAUUCAUUCAAAAUUCUGAAGUUUUAGGUAACAGAGUUCUUUCCCUGCUUCAAUUUGUUUGUGAUAAAGAUCUGCAUACUCUGUUAAAAUAUAACAAAGGGAUAUUUGCCUAGGGUUCUUUUCUCCUACGCUUGAAAGCGAGCUCUUGUGAGAGUCUGUUUAAUCAGUUUUAUUGUCCCACAUCGGUGGUUUUUACUGUCAAAGAUUUCAUAAGCUAAAUUAUCUGGCAAAAUUUCUUUCUAGAAAUGCUAUCUACAAUAUUCAAUUACUUUCGCAUUUUUAUUGUGAAAUAUACAUUGAAAUGCAUAAAGCAGUUAAUCAGUAUAAUGAGUAAUUAUGAAAGAAACCUCAGUGUGACUCACCAGGUCAAGAAAUGGAACAUUGCCAGCACCCCAGAAGCCCCCCCAGUGACCUUCUUGAACACAACUCUCCCUCCCUUUUAGAGUUGACCAUCUAACUUUUGUGAUAAUCAUUUCCUUGUUUUUCUCUAUUGUUUUGUCACGAGCGUGCAUCCCUAAACAAUAUGUUGUUUAGUUUUGCCCUUUCUUUUGAACUUUAUUAAAUGGAACAACAUAAUAUGUAAUCUGUUGUGCUUACUGCUUUUGCUCAACAUCAUUUUUAAUCCGUAUGUUGUUCGGGUUCAUAUAGCUGUAAUUUGUUCAUUUUAAUUGCUGCAUAUUACAGUGUUCCAUUGUAGCAAUAUGCCAUAAUUUAUUUAGCUGUUCUAUUGUUGAUGGACGUCUAGGUUGUUUCCAGUUUGGGGCUGUUAUAAAUGGUGCUGUGAACAUUCUUCAUAGAUGUAUUCCAUCACAUCUAUAUCAGUUUCUGUAUAGUAUAUACCUGGGAGUGGUAAUGUGUGUCAUAAACUUGAAUAAAUAACGCCAAGCUGUUUUCUAAAGUGUUAUACUCACACCAACCAUGUAUGAAUCCCCUUGCUCCACACCCUCAACUACACCCUCACUCUUUAGUUUUGCCUGUCUGGUGAGUGUGUGGUAGUGUGUCAUUGUAGUUUUAAAUUGCAUCUCCCUGAUUACUGACGCUGUUGAGGACCUUUUUACAUAUCAACUAGCCAUUUGGAUUUCCUUUUUGUGAAGUGUGACAUUAUCUUUUUCAUGCCUAAUCUCAGAGAUGCCCCAUUUUCCUGUAUCCUUUUAUAGUACACAUUUGAACAAUAUAUUUCAGGUAAGGUAAUGCUACCAAGUGAC